This 1211-nucleotide long non-coding RNA is filed under the name Olea europaea (common olive). RNAcentral describes it as "long non-coding RNA (OEUR_LNC010160)". The record is from RNAcentral. Lineage: Eukaryota; Viridiplantae; Streptophyta; Magnoliopsida; Lamiales; Oleaceae.
AGUCACAUCAAAUAGCUUUAUGGGGGACGUCACAUCAAUUUAAACCUUAUAUGCAGAGCAAAUCUUAAAUUGGCAGCGAAUCUUCUAACGGGGUCGGAGACGGGACACUUCGGCAGAUCAGUGACAGGAAUUGGUGUAUCACUUCGGAGAGGCUUCGGGAGGUCGGAGUGGUUUCGAGGCUCGUAAAAUGAGGCGUAACAGUGGCCCCCCAAAUCUGAGAAUGAAUAUUUAUAUUAUACUUGGAUUUGUUUUCCUGACCGGAUCGCGGCAUGGGGGUAGCUGAAACUUUGUAGAGCAUGGGAAGAACGCAGAGCCGAGGCGAUGAGCCAAUGAUACGCUCGCGUCGGGUACGUUAAAGCGUUAUAGAAAUUUUAGGGACUCGUCUUCAUCGAAGCGUUGUCAGGAAGAGGGAGACGGCUCAAGCUUUGCAAAGCAUGGGAGGGGCGCAGCGACCGAGGCGAUAGCAAACGGGGCGCUUGCAUCGGGUGCGUCCAGGCUUUGUUAAGUUGGGGGACUCGUUUCUCGCCGAAGCGUUGGCGGAAAAGAGGGUCGACGCGUGGGGGGAUGGCUAGAACUUUGUAAAGCAAUGGUGGGAACGCAGCGCCCGAGGUGAUUAGCGACUGGGGCCUUCGCAUCGGUUGCGGCUAAGCUUUGUAAAGUUGGGGGAGGAGAUCAUCCGAGGCGACCCAGAAGUCCAAUGAUUUGACAACUGUUGCGUGUUUCCAAGGUGACAGUUGGGUACCACGCCCAUUCCCCUAGAAGGCUGCCGCGGCCAGUAAUUAUUAUUGACGGCUGUUGGUAACCGAGGCGACGCGUUUCAAUUUAGCGUGAAAGCCACUUUAGCGUGAAACCCACAGCGACAUCUUGGGCGUAGAUCAAAUCUGGCGUUUCAUUUCAACGGCUGGGAUCGAGAAUACAACGGACGGUUUAGAUUGAUCGUAUUUGAAUUCAAAGGUGGAGAUUGGAUUUGUCUUUCCUAUAAAAGGUGAACUUUGGGGGCUUACCAGAGUUUCUACCUUUACCACGAAAAAACAAAAUUUUCUCCCAAAUUUUUGGCGAUUCCCGGCGUUCUACAGGCAACUCCGGCGAGAGAGAGAGCGAUAUUUCCGGCGAUCUUGCACCAUUUCCGGCUAGGAAACACUUUCAAACCCGUAAGUUUCAGUACCCAUUUAGACUCUAAAAAUUUCUUAACGAAUGGCCUCGGAAGGNNN